RNAcentral lists this ribosomal RNA (800 nucleotides) under Pleurocordyceps nipponica. RNAcentral describes it as "SSU rRNA". It matches the Rfam family "Eukaryotic small subunit ribosomal RNA", at positions 302 to 1108 of the family's 1831-position model. The record is from RNAcentral. Lineage: Eukaryota; Fungi; Ascomycota; Sordariomycetes; Hypocreales; Polycephalomycetaceae.
CAUUUCUUCCCUAUCAACUUUCGAUGUUUGGGUAUUGGCCAAACAUGGUUACAACGGGUAACGGAGGGUUAGGGCUCGACCCCGGAGAAGGAGCCUGAGAGACGGCUACUACAUCCAAGGAAGGCAGCAGGCGCGCAAAUUACCCAAUCCCGACACGGGGAGGUAGUGACAAUAAAUACUGAUACAGGGCUCUUUCGGGUCUUGUAAUUGGAAUGAGUACAAUUUAAAUCCCUUAACGAGGAACAAUUGGAGGGCAAGUCUGGUGAACGCAGCCGCGGUAAUUCCAGCUCCAAUAGCGUAUAUUAAAGUUGUUGUGGUUAAAAAGCUCGUAGUUGAACCUUGGGCCUGGCUGGCCGGUCCGCCUCACCGCGUGUACUGGUCCGGCCGGGCCUUUCCCUCUGUGGAACCCCAUGCCCUUCACUGGGCGUGGCGGGGAAACAGGACUUUUACUUUGAAAAAAUUAGAGUGCUCCAGGCAGGCCUAUGCUCGAAUACAUUAGCAUGGAAUAAUAGAAUAGGACGUGCGGUUCUAUUUUGUUGGUUUCUAGGACCGCCGUAAUGAUUAAUAGGGACAGUCGGGGGCAUCAGUAUUCAAUUGUCAGAGGUGAAAUUCUUGGAUCUAUUGAAGACUAACUACUGCGAAAGCAUUUGCCAAGGAUGUUUUCAUUAAUCAGGAACGAAAGUUAGGGGAUCGAAGACGAUCAGAUACCGUCGUAGUCUUAACCAUAAACUAUGCCGACUAGGGAUCGGGCGAUGUUAUUUUUUGACUCGCUCGGCACCUUACGAGAAAUCAAAGUGCUU